AUGGUAGUGAUGUUUUGGCCCUCCCAAGGGAUGAGCUUCAUGGCCACCUUGUCUUUCAAAAAUUGGAAGUCCACUUUUUCAAGUUUCCAAACCGAAAACGGGAGACCCAAAUAUCGCAUAGGGAAGGAUGUCUUCGCGGCCGGCAAGCUUCAGAGAAUGCGAUCCAUAUUAAUGUGGUUGCACCGGAUGGGAACUACCGAGCUCUUAUGGACGCUGGUGCACAAGCCCGUGACUUGGCCGAAGUAUUUGAGGAUGCCGGAAAGAUUGCCAAUGUCAUUUUUGAUCGGUACCAUGAACACCGCCGCAUCAUCCGCAUAUAGAGAGGUCCACACCAUGGCGCCCCCUUGCUCGUGGCCAAUUGGAGGAUCUUCUGUAGAGGGUCAAUAG
RNAcentral lists this ribosomal RNA (387 nucleotides) under Triticum aestivum (bread wheat). RNAcentral's name for it is "partial small subunit ribosomal RNA". The record is from RNAcentral. Lineage: Eukaryota; Viridiplantae; Streptophyta; Magnoliopsida; Poales; Poaceae.